Molecule: transfer RNA, 67 nt
Filed under: Dermestes ater
Lineage: Eukaryota; Metazoa; Arthropoda; Insecta; Coleoptera; Dermestidae
Description: tRNA-Ile
Source: RNAcentral
AAUGAAGUGCCUGAUUAAAAAGGGAUAUUUUGAUAGAAUAUAUUAUGUAAUUAUAUUACCUUCAUUA